This 253-nucleotide ribosomal RNA is filed under the name uncultured bacterium. RNAcentral describes it as "partial 16S ribosomal RNA". It matches the Rfam family "Bacterial small subunit ribosomal RNA", at positions 524 to 776 of the family's 1533-position model. The record is from RNAcentral.
UACGAAGGGGGCGAGCGUUGUUCGGAAUUACUGGGCGUAAAGGGCGCGCAGGCGGCUCUUCAAGUCAGAUGUGAAAGCCCCGGGCUCAACCUGGGAACUGCAUUUGGGACUGGAGGGCUAGAGUUCGGGAGAGGUGGGUGGAAUUCCCAGUGUAGAGGUGAAAUUCGUAGAUAUUGGGAAGAACACCGGUGGCGAAGGCGGCUCACUGGACCGAGACUGACGCUGAGGCGCGAAAGCGUGGGGAGCGAACAGG